UGGGUGUAGGAAUAUUGAAAGGAUCUGUCCCUAGUACGAGAGGACCGGGAUGGACGGAUCUCUGGUGGACCUGUUGUGGCGCCAGCCGCAUAGCAGGGUAGCUAUAUCCGGACGGGAUAACCGCUGAAGGCAUCUAAGCGGGAAACCCACCUUAAAACGAGUAUUCCCUGAGAACCGUGGAAGACGACCACGUUGAUAGGCCGGGUGUGGAAGAGCGGCAACGCUUGAAGCUUACCGGUACUAAUAGUUCGAUCGGCUUGAUCGUUCUCAUU
This 272-nucleotide ribosomal RNA is filed under the name Mesorhizobium sp. RNAcentral describes it as "partial 23S ribosomal RNA". It matches the Rfam family "Bacterial large subunit ribosomal RNA", at positions 2648 to 2925 of the family's 2925-position model. Lineage: Bacteria; Pseudomonadati; Pseudomonadota; Alphaproteobacteria; Hyphomicrobiales; Phyllobacteriaceae. The record is from RNAcentral.